CCUGCCCCUCCCACCCUCUCCUACCCACCACCACCACCACCACCAUCCAUCACCGCCGACCACCAACAUUCGCGGGUACAAAUCAGACGCGCCGCCUCCCACCACCGCCACCGCCCACCACGAGGGACGAGUCCCUCCACGAGCACUUCACCGGAGACGCCCACACACCACGGCACGGCACUAGAUUGGACGAGUCCCUAAAAUUUCUGACGCUCCUCUCUCUCGGCGACGCCCACUAAACGACAUCACCACCGGCCACUUCCAUCCACCACAUCAACUGAAUGCCACCCACGUCGCACCGCUGGCAAUUCCCACCCAGUUGAAGAAGGUACAAACAGAAAAAUAAUAUCUACAAAUAGCAAUGCGUCAAAUGGAUGUUUGCUAUGUUAUUGUGGAAUUCUUGCUUAUGUAAGGACCUUCUGGAUAGAAAAAAAAACUUCGGUAGAAUGGACACUUACGAAAAAAGAAUGCGUGCUGAAAUGAAACGUCUACAUGACACAGGAGAUAGAAUGCGUAGUGAAAUGGAGAAUCAAUCUGUCCAAUUUCAGUUGAAGUUAAGAGUUGUAUCAAACUAAAGUAAAGUUGUACCAAUUUAGGGAGAAGAUGUAUCAAGCAGCUUUAGUUUUUUUUAUUUUUUUAUUUUUUAUUAUUUUUAUUUUUAUCAUUAUUAUACUAUUUUAUGUUAGUGAUUACAAUCAAUAUAGUGGUAGUAAGCUGAUGUUAAGAUGAACUUAUUCAUCGUGUUGUAAAUUAACUAACAAUCACAUUGAUCAACAAUUUGGAGAGUGAAUGUACUUUAAUUAAAGUUCAUGUA
Corylus avellana is the source of this 814-nucleotide non-coding RNA. NCBI's taxonomy places the organism in Eukaryota, Viridiplantae, Streptophyta, Magnoliopsida, Fagales, Betulaceae. The record is from RefSeq and is a predicted model, not a curated record.